Long non-coding RNA from Frieseomelitta varia, 2227 nucleotides. RefSeq lists it as uncharacterized. The transcript has 8 exons. The record is from RefSeq and is a predicted model, not a curated record. Lineage: Eukaryota; Metazoa; Arthropoda; Insecta; Hymenoptera; Apidae.
UAAUAACCAUAUUCUUCUUAUAAGUACAAACGAAUAGCUAAUUCAACCUAACGAAUUCUCGCAAAUAGAGUGUAAUUAAUUUGACUAUAACUCAAUAAAGCGAGUGAAUAGAUACAACGUGGAGGAAAACAUAAAGGUUUCUGUUCGAUUAUACAGGAUAUUGCAAAAUACAUUGGACGUGCUUGUAGAAUCGAAUUUAGAUACCAAGACGAUAAAAGAAAAAGUUGAAGCUUGAGACAUUGUGAUUUUCACUUCUGACAUGUAACGUACACUUCUGAUUAUGCCAACAUACAAAAUUAAAAUGUUCAACGCCUGUACCAAGAAUCAAUCGCGCAUAGUCAUUACAAGCAAUUGUAAAAAUCACUAUACAACAACCGUUUCUCGACACAUUUGAAAUCUUGGAUUACAAUAGUGAUAUAUCUUCUAAUUGAUUCACUUCGAAUUGUUUCAUUUAUUAAUUUAUCAUUUGUUCGUUUUCUUUCGUUAUAAAAAAUUGUUCGAACAGCAUUGUGCUUUCUUACUGAAACUACGGAUCCUAAGUUCUGUUUCUGUUUAUUGUAUUUGACCAUCGUAGGACUUGCAUCAUCAGAAAUAUUUUGAAGUGUUACUAUUACGUUACCAUACUCGUGAUAUGUAAACAUCAGUUUCUAACGCAUGAUCACGUGUAUUGUUUUUAUUUAGGGAGAGGACUUAUAAGUAUUUUGAACAGAAAAUAUCUACAAUGGUAACAAAUAACUGAAACUUAAAAAAAAACGUUCUUCUCGUCCAAAUGAAAUUUUCAAAAUCACUACUAAAAAUAUCUGAAAGAUUGCUGAAUUAAUUUGUGGUAAUAUUCUGGAAGGCUGUGCAUCAAGUAUGUGACGAAAUUUUGGCUUGCGUAUUUCUCUUUAUUAUUACUUACUCAAGAAGUUGAAAAUUUACGACGGAAAUUAAACAAGUGUUCAAGUUCAGUUACAGAGUGAUCAUUCAGAAACUGAAGGGUUUGAAAGAGCCCGUAUUUGCCAGCAGGAAAAUUCAUUCAUUUGAGGGAUAUUGUUUUUCAUACAUAAUACUGAAAAAUCAAAUUAAUUAUAUUUCCAAAUAAAAAAUUAAAAAACAUUUUCUUUGUAAAAUAUGCUGCUGAAAAAAAGUCGUAAAAAAUUCUUAAAAAAAUCAACGAUUCAACGAUGAGAUGGAAUAUCAAGUAAGAAAUUAUUGACAAAAGACGGAGGAAAUAUCGCUAACCAAUUUGAUCCUGAGGAGUGAUGGGAUUUGCAUAGCAAUAAAAAUGCAUAGCUCCGAUAUUUAAGUUGCAUUUAUUGAAAAAGGAAGAAUAUAUAAGUACAAGUUUGAUAUUCGAGGAUCACGAGUUUGUAGCAAGUUUGCACUUGAUCUUAAUCGUGCUUCAAGUUGCAAAGGUCUGUGUUGAUUUUCUCGAAUUAUCGGGAAGCGAGGUAGACUCGUUGUUGCGCCAGUUUCUUCUUACAUUCUUAAACCUUCAAAACGGAUCUUCGUCGACGAUGAUCAUUUUCUCACAAAAUCGAAUGAAAGUGCACAUUUCCUCUUUCAGCCGGUUCAUCUUGCAAGGCUAUCUUCUUAUUUACAUCGCGGGAAAUAAUGAUGGGCCUUCGGAAGAGGCUUCAUCUUUGAAGUACACGUAUUCCUAAAAAACAAAAAAAAAAAAGGAAGAAGAAAUUUCGUAGCAAUUGGCGAAAAGCGAGAAGUAAACUUUUCAGUGACGUGUCCAACUCUUUAGAGAACGUGAGUAACAGGAUGUACUCGCGGAGUAUAGAGUCCCACAGAUGCAUGAAGGACGCAAUUUGACGGCGACCGUCGGCCGACAUCACCUGACAAUCAAUGCGUUACAAUGCGAAUGAUAUAUAAAAUUCAAUGUACCUUAACGCUAGAACUACCGACGAGUAAAGCAUUAGCUCUAGCAAAAUUAGCUCUAAUCAGAGAUAAGACAAAAAUUAGAUGGUACCUUGAAGUGUAACUCUGGAUACAUGCAACAACUACAAAUAUUCGGCCCCUCUAUAUAGCAGAGUUCUUCUUUCUCUGCAUUAUAGAUCGUGAAACACACGCCCAAUAGACGGUGAUAUACCUUGUGGUUGUGCCGUAAUGACCGUUGGCUUCAGAUAAACAGAGGGUAUGGUGAACACCGGAUUCUGUUCCAUUUCUAUAUAUCGAACGUUUUCCUGGUUUGGUUCUGCGUGAUUGUAAAAACUCAUUUGAACACUGACUUAUUCUA